UUGUGUCUUCGAGUCGUUGAUUUCACACUGCCGAGAAAAGCCUCUAGAUAGAAAAUAGGUGCCCGUACCGCAAACCGACACAGGUAGUCAAGAUGAGAAUUCUAAGGUGAGCGAGCGAACUCUCGUUAAGGAACUCGGCAAAAUGACCCCGUAACUUCGGGAGAAGGGGUGCUCUUUAGGGUUAACGCCCAGAAGAGCCGCAGUGAAUAGGCCCAAGCGACUGUUUAUCAAAAACACAGGUCUCUGCUAAACCGUAAGGUGAUGUAUAGGGGCUGACGCCUGCCCGGUGCUGGAAGGUUAAGAGGAGUGGUUAGCUUCUGCGAAGCUACGAAUCGAAGCCCCAGUAAACGGCGGCCGUAACUAUAACGGUCCUAAGGUAGCGAAAUUCCUUGUCGGGUAAGUUCCGACCCGCACGAAAGGCGUAACGAUUUGGGCACUGUCUCAACGAGAGACUCGGUGAAAUCAUAGUACCUGUGAAGAUGCAGGUUACCCGCGACAGGACGGAAAGACCCCGUGGAGCUUUACUGUAGCCUGAUAUUGAAAUUCGGCACAGCUUGUACAGGAUAGGUAGGAGCCUUUGAAACGUGAGCGCUAGCUUACGUGGAGGCGCUGGUGGGAUACUACCCUAGCUGUGUUGGCUUUCUAACCCGCACCACUUAUCGUGGUGGGAGACAGUGUCAGGCGGGCAGUUUGACUGGGGCGGUCGCCUCCUAAAAGGUAACGGAGGCGCUCAAAGGUUCCCUCAGAAUGGUUGGAAAUCAUUCAUAGAGUGUAAAGGCAUAAGGGAGCUUGACUGCGAGACCUACAAGUCGAGCAGGGUCGAAAGACGGACUUAGUGAUCC
This 842-nucleotide ribosomal RNA is filed under the name Staphylococcus aureus. RNAcentral describes it as "partial 23S ribosomal RNA". It matches the Rfam family "Bacterial large subunit ribosomal RNA", at positions 1578 to 2421 of the family's 2925-position model. Lineage: Bacteria; Bacillati; Bacillota; Bacilli; Caryophanales; Staphylococcaceae. The record is from RNAcentral.